UAUAGCCUAGCAGCAACUGAAGAUAAUAAACCUACCUCUCCUAAUUUCCAUAUAGACAUUCCAUUACACACCCAAUUAUCAUUACCCACGUCUAUCUAUACUAACCUCAACAAAAGACCAUUCUCCUAAUGAUAUGAACCUGAUCUAUCUCUCAAAUAAUGCACUUUCUCAUAAUACAUAUCCUUCCACGAGGUAUCAUCCGCCAUGAAACAAACCUUGGAAACAUCAGUCGCCCAUUACCAAUCACCUUCUCCGAUAAUCCUCAUCCACUUAUGAUCCUAUAUUACAUUCUACUUAAGCAUUGACAUUAGCCAUAUUUAUAUACACGCAAAUAUACAUUGUACUUGUACUCACCUAGGCUAUUUAUGCCGAUAACAUAGUGGAUUGGUGGACUCAUUGCCACCCGCGGUUUUUAUCCCUUUCGGGUUUUCCGCGUCACCAUCUCUUGUCUUGUCUCUCUUUAUUUUCUGUCAUUUAUUUCCUGUCAUUUGCAUACUUUAUUUUAUCUAGUCGUCUAUGUCCCAACCAAAGGUCGUCCAUACGAAAUUUGGCAUAAACAGUUUGGCGCCGUCUGUGGGGAGAUGGCUAGAUUUAUCUUCAAACACAUAUCCACAAAUAUCCUCCCAAACACAAUAUUCGACCCACUUGGGCUCACCAAUAAAGUUACCGCCAGGCGAGGGAUUGUUGUCAUACUGUGUCGCCACCAUGAGAUGGAGCUGCGUCAGGGCACAUGUCGUCGACAUGACAGGCGUCGUCGACGGGUCAAGUGUCGUCAGCAGGUCAGGUGUCGUCGCCAGGCUCGUUGGUCGAUGGAAUAUGGUAUGACGUCAGGGUACAUGUCGUCGCCAGAUCAGGUGUCGACAUCAGCAGGUGUCAUCGCUAGAAGUGAUGCGUUGCAGUGGUCGAAUUCAACCUAGAUGAUGCAUAUCGUGACAACAACGACACCAACGCUUGAUGACAUCGAAAAUAGACGUCACGGACCAUCAUGCAGAUGUCACCACAAACAAGAUACAAUAUGAGUUGUCUCGUACCUUGAUAAGAUCUCGAGACGAUUUGAUCACUUGACGUCGCGAGAAGUAUGGUAUAAAACUCAACCCCAGUGAUUUUAAUUUAAACUAAUAUUGUUUCUAGUCCUUGUUGUCACUAAAACAGAUGCGAACACGUGACGUCAUCCACCAAUGACAUGACGUCAACAUAGUUUCGUCCGACGUCACCUCCACAUCAGUCGACGACGUCUCCAAAAACGAAGGCGACAAAUGGAGAUUCAGCAACAAAUUGUCGGCAACACUAGAUUUUGUGGCUAACUUCAGUCCAAGUAUCAAAUAGGAGAAUUUGUAGUUGUCCUGAAGUCGCCACAGGGGAGCAUAUAGUAUACUCUAUCUCAUUUAAUUUUCAUAUAGUAUACUUGAUUUUCUUUUUAUACAGUAUACUUUGCUUGUUUUAAUUUUCAAAAGCACUUUGAAAUAUAUGCUAUACGUUGUUAUCCUACUUUUUGUACUAACAUCGUCACCACUUGUCGUUUGAUCAUGUCGUGUCGCCAAGUAUUGUCUUGUCUACAGGUAUUGACGUGUCGCUUGGCUAGGUCAUGAGUACAUCAGGCGACCGACGUUAGAAUGCAGGUGACAAGGUACUGUCUUGUCUACAGGUACUGACGUGUCGCUUGGCAAGGUCGUGAGUAAAGCAGGCGACCAACGUUAGAAGUGUUACACGAGGUCACGACACGACAUGAGGUCACGACGAUACAACAUGACGCCACGACAGCAAGUCACGACAGCAGGACGCGACCAUUCUGGUUACCCCUAUGACGACAAGAAGUUUCUUGGCGUUAAACAUGGUACGUAGAAGUAAUUAUCGAACAUCUUUAUUUUAACAAUAUAUUUCUUCGUAAGUUCGCCAACAGAUCGUUGAUUGAUACAUGAAUAUCAAUGGGGGCUAAAGGUACGAACAUACUUUCGAAGUGAGUUAUCUUUUAUUUAUAAUAUACACGUAUUGUCGCUGCCACGUACAUCGCAGAUCGUGAGGGUCAUCAACACAAUCGAAUGGUAUGAGUGACUUAAUUCAUUUAUUAGUGACGUCAAAAUUUUAUAAACUAACACCUCAUAUCCUAUUGAAAUUUUCUCAUAUAUCAUCCGUGAUAACUAUUUUUCAUUUACUAACGACAUGCCGCGACUAUACGCGUUAGUAUGUAUAUUAAUGACAACAGAUUACCUUGAUCAUGACGGUAUGCCCCGACGCCACGAGAUGGCAAUGACCGAUGACACGACGCCACCAGACUACCGAGAAAGCUAAGGAAAUCGGAAUGUCGAAUAAUCAUCAUCAAUGACCAUGAUGACACAUGAGUAACUUCUAAACUAUUUUUCACACACUUUCUCAUUUCAAUUCAUUCAUUGUUGUUCUCUUGUAUUAAUAUGUCUCGUAUUCAACGUUCAUCAAGUUAACUAAUAAAUUUUUGCAUCGCACCAUGAAUGUCUCAAUUUCUCUAAUGACUAAACCAUUUUAUCAAAUCGUUUUGAGGUAAUUUGACUUGACAUGACGUUUAGAGGUUGCAUCAUGCUGACACGCAUGUACGACGUCAAAUAUAAACGAACGUCAUCAUAUCUGUGGCCGACUUCAGUCAUGAUAUCUUCCUAAAGCCGCCACAGGGGGGCAAGAUAGUACAUACUCCUGUUCAGUUUAAUAUACUUGUUACAACUUUGAAAUUUAACUGACGAUGUGAUACAAUUUAUUUUCAUGAUGAUCUUGUCGUAAGAUUUUGGUAACAGGUAUGACGCUAAGACAAAUGUACGGACACUGGGGCUCAACCACUAUCACAUGUCGAAAUAGGCGGAUAAAGAGAAGUCAUUGGGUUUCCCAAAGACGACAAGUGAUAAGACGUCAACCGAUUAACAAGAAAGGUAAUUUAUAAAGAGUUCACAUGUAUUUGAAUUUACGACAUAUUGUAAUGUAAGUUUGUCAAAUGAUUUUACCAAAGACGUUAAGAAAAAGUCCACUUAAGACAGUAUAAGGAAUUCACAUUAACCAUAUGCUCCUUCUUGUGCCACAUUGCGAGGAUCAACCAAUAAGUCGACCAACGUUGGAAUGGAUAGUGUCAAGACCAGCGAUGCGUCAAUCUCAUUCAACGUGACGGGACGACGCCAGAUGUGACGACGAUGAUACAAGCGAUGACAAUGAUCUCAGGAACGAAAACAAGAUCGGCGACGAGAGGUGCCACGACAUCAGGAGAAUGCUGUUGAUUGUAGAAUCGUCAUCAAGGGACAGUCAGCGACACGACGUAAUUUCGUUACACGAGCCCAUA
Long non-coding RNA from Spinacia oleracea (spinach), 3295 nucleotides. RefSeq lists it as uncharacterized. The record is from RefSeq and is a predicted model, not a curated record. NCBI's taxonomy places the organism in Eukaryota, Viridiplantae, Streptophyta, Magnoliopsida, Caryophyllales, Amaranthaceae. The transcript is spliced from 2 exons.